AACUUACUACUUGGUAGUUCUCAUUUGUCUAAAACUUGAAAAUUAGAAAUCCAAAACUAAUACAGAUGAGAUCUGAACAAAACACUCAAAACCUCAAGCAACGUUGGAACAGCCUUUUUAGAGACUGAAUAACUAUCUACUUCAUACAACUCUAUUAGCAACAGUUCAGAAACAAUGUUAGACCAAUGUAUGUACUGAAAUAUGAGCGCUAAUUUAUGUAAUGAGCGAAUUAUGGCAUUUCAGUUGAACUGUACUGACAUCAAAGGCUCGUACAUUUCUACGUACAUCAUUAACGUGUAUAAACAAACCAUGAUUAUUUCAACGAGUUCUUUGUUGUUUUAUUAAUUUCUUUAUCUUUCGCCUUUUUCCUUCGUUCAUUUCUUUCUUUUUCUUUCUAAACAGAAUUAAGAUAUCCUAAAAUUGAGAGCAACAGAUGCAACCGGCUAUUGACUAGUGUCAACUCACUAGUUUCAGUUUUGCCUUUUUUUGAAGAUCUUUGAAAGUGUUUGAAUUAGGAUCAUACUUAUUUUCGUCAAGGGAUUUGAAAAAACAACGAUGUCAAUGUUUAAGGGGCCUUGUACACCAUACGUUUCAAACUUUGUAAGAUCUUAAAGUUCCAACUGUGCAAAAUGGCAGCUUAAAGAUGAAGUGGAAAACUAAACACGAAAGGAUACAGUCAGUCCUUCCUGGAACCAUGUUAUUGCCUCAUCAUAUUUUUCUAGCUCCAUACAAGCACAACCUCCUGGUUCAAAUUAUACAGGAAUUUUUGUAAAUAUAUUGUAAAUGAGAUAGUAAACAAAUGUCAUGGUAUCAUACCACGAAAUAUAGCUUUAAUAUAACAAGGA
This is a long non-coding RNA of Xenia sp. Carnegie-2017, 845 nucleotides long. RefSeq lists it as uncharacterized. The record is from RefSeq and is a predicted model, not a curated record. Lineage: Eukaryota; Metazoa; Cnidaria; Anthozoa; Malacalcyonacea; Xeniidae. The transcript is spliced from 2 exons.